UACGAAGGGGGGUAGCGUUGUUCGGAAUUACUGGGCGUAAAGCGCGCGCAGGCGGCUAUCCAAGUCAGUGGUGAAAGCCCGGAGCUCAACUCCGGAACUGCCAUUGAAACUGUUUAGCUGGAGUAUGAGAGAGGUGAGUGGAAUUCCCAGUGUAGAGGUGAAAUUCGUAGAUAUUGGGAAGAACACCGGUGGCGAAGGCGGCUCACUGGCUCAUUACUGACGCUCAUGCGCGACAGCGUGGGGAUCAAACAGG
Molecule: ribosomal RNA, 253 nt
Filed under: uncultured bacterium
Lineage: Bacteria
Description: partial 16S ribosomal RNA
Rfam family: Bacterial small subunit ribosomal RNA
Source: RNAcentral